GACGAACGCUGGCGGCGUGCUUAACACAUGCAAGUCGAGCGGUAAGGCCCUUUCGGGGGUACACGAGCGGCGAACGGGUGAGUAACACGUGGGUGACCUGCCCUCAGCUCUGGGAUAAGCCUGGGAAACCGGGUCUAAUACUGGAUAUGACUCCAUGACGCAUGUUGUGGGGUGGAAAGCCUUGUGCGGCUGAGGAUGGGCCCGCGGCCUAUCAGCUUGUUGGUGGGGGAUGGCCUACCAAGGCGACGACGGGUAGCCGGCCUGAGAGGGCGACCGGCCACACUGGGACUGAGACACGGCCCAGACUCCUACGGGAGGCAGCAGUGGGGAAUCUUGCGCAAUGGGCGAAAGCCUGACGCAGCGACGCCGCGUGAGGA
This 377-nucleotide ribosomal RNA is filed under the name uncultured bacterium. Its description in RNAcentral is "bacterial SSU rRNA". It matches the Rfam family "Bacterial small subunit ribosomal RNA", at positions 28 to 407 of the family's 1533-position model. The record is from RNAcentral.